AAGCGGAGCGAGGUCGCCCUGCCUCACACUCUCUUACCCCUCUCGCUUUUCCCUGUUUCUGAUCCUCUCCUCCCAGUCAACCUUGUGGAAACAAGUGCCGUAAAGAGUAGGGAAGGAGGACUGAUUCUAGUUUUGUUGCAAAGUAAUGGUUGCUACUUGAAAACUGCGGGCUACGCUGCACCCAUUUUGCAGAUGAAGAUUCCCUAACCCUGCACAAGUAGUUUCCUGAGUGUUCCAAAGUUGAGGUCCCAGAAGCCGGAAUCAGCUGAGCUGCAAGACAACUCUGAACUCGCAGCAACAAUCCCACCGAGGUCCCCAGAAGGCCUGAGCUGGAUGGGUCCCUGCGUCCGUCCGCAUUUCCCUCUGCAGAGCAAGAGGACACAGCUGUGAAUAGUAAAGGAAAAUGAUGUGUAAUGCCUUUCAAAAGAGAAAGUACUGUGCAAGUGCAAGCAUUCUGCUGUGUUUUAAGGCUUGCUUUAGACUACAUCCUAUUAACUAAAUGGCUUUUCAAUAUGCCUCCCAUUGUCUGAGGAGAAAUCUGUUUCUACAACCUCUCUUAUUUAAUGUUUCAAAACCAGUUAUGAGUGAUGAGUUAUAUGAGUUACGCUCUCCCUUACAGUAGAUUACGUUUACAAGUAUUCUGUCUUUCUAUAUGAGUUACGCUCUCCCUUACAAUAGAUUAUGUUUACAAGUAUUCUGUCUUCCCUUUCAAGUCCCAUUUUGACAGGAAAUUUCUCUGUAUUUUCUCCCUUGGUUUUUUUGGUUUUUUGUGUUUUUUUUUUUUUUCUGGUAUAAAGUUUCCAAGGUCUUUAUUAUAGGAGGGAAACUUAGAAGUAGAAAAGAAGUUUGUGCUAUGAAGUCAAAACACAAUUGUGGCCAUCCUGAGAGACAGACAGGAAAUUUGGAGGAUGCAAGAAAAAAAAAAAAAACUCAUUCCAGAGCAUUAGCAUCAGUCCUUAGGCAGCAGAGGCAGGCAGAUCUCUGUGAGUUUGAGGCCAACCUGGCUGCAUAGGGCUACACAAUGGAACUGUUUAAAAAAAAAAAAAAAGAGAGAGAG
Non-coding RNA from Cricetulus griseus (Chinese hamster), 1057 nucleotides. The record is from RefSeq and is a predicted model, not a curated record. NCBI's taxonomy places the organism in Eukaryota, Metazoa, Chordata, Mammalia, Rodentia, Cricetidae.